AGAGUUUGAUCAUGGCUCAGGACGAACGCUGGCGGCGCGCCUAACACAUGCAAGUCGAACGAGCGAGAGAGAGCUUGCUUUCUCGAGCGAGUGGCGAACGGGUGAGUAACGCGUGAGGAACCUGCCUCAAANAGGGGGACAACAGUUGGAAACGACUGCUAAUACCGCAUAAGCCCACAGCUCGGCAUCGAGCAGAGGGAAAAGGAGCAAUCCGCUUUGAGAUGGCCUCGCGUCCGAUUAGCUAGUUGGUGAGGUAAUGGCCCACCAAGGCGACGAUCGGUAGCCGGACUGAGAGGUUGAACGGCCACCAUUGGGACUGAGACACGGCCCAGACUCCUACGGGAGGCAGCA
Molecule: ribosomal RNA, 351 nt
Filed under: uncultured bacterium
Lineage: Bacteria
Description: bacterial SSU rRNA
Rfam family: Bacterial small subunit ribosomal RNA
Source: RNAcentral